CGGCGAACGGGUGAGUAACACGUGGGCAACCUACCCAGAAGACCGGGAUAACGGCUCGAAAGGGCCGCUAAUACCGGAUAAUGUCGGGGUACCGCAUGGUACUCCGAAGAAAGGGGAAACCCGCUUUUGGAUGGGCCCGCGUCCCAUCAGCUAGUUGGUGAGGUAACGGCUCACCAAGGCGACGACGGGUAGCCGGUCUGAGAGGAUGGUCGGCCACACUGGGACUGAGACACGGCCCAGACUCCUACGGGAGGCAGCAGUUGGGAAUCUUGGGCAAUGGGCGAAAGCCUGACCCAGCGACGCCGCGUGAGGGAAGAAGGCCUUCGGGUCGUAAACCUCUGUCAUGGGGGAAGAAGCAAGUGACGGUACCCCAAGAGGAAGCCCCUGCUAACUACGUGCCAGCAGCCGCGGUAAUACGUAGGGGGCGAGCGUUGUCCUGAUUUACUGGGCGUAAA
RNAcentral lists this ribosomal RNA (455 nucleotides) under uncultured bacterium. RNAcentral's name for it is "bacterial SSU rRNA". It matches the Rfam family "Bacterial small subunit ribosomal RNA", at positions 96 to 564 of the family's 1533-position model. The record is from RNAcentral.